RNAcentral lists this ribosomal RNA (286 nucleotides) under uncultured bacterium. Its description in RNAcentral is "partial 16S ribosomal RNA". It matches the Rfam family "Bacterial small subunit ribosomal RNA", at positions 30 to 301 of the family's 1533-position model. The record is from RNAcentral.
AUUGAACGCUGGCGGCGUGCCUAACACAUGCAAGUCGAGCGGUAACAGGUGUAGCAAUACAUGCUGACGAGCGGCGAACGGGUGAGUAAUGCUUCGGAAUCUGCCCAUGUAGUGGGGAAUAACCAGCCGAAAGGUUGGCUAAUACCGCAUACGACCCUUGCCCACAAGGCAAAGGUGAAAGCAGGGAUCGCAAGACCUUGCGCUAUUGGAUGAGCCGAAGUCGGAUUAGCUAGUUGGUAGGGUAACGGCCUACCAAGGCGACGAUCCGUAGCUGGUCUGAGAGGAC